RNAcentral lists this ribosomal RNA (36 nucleotides) under Euoplos inornatus. Its description in RNAcentral is "partial 28S ribosomal RNA". Lineage: Eukaryota; Metazoa; Arthropoda; Arachnida; Araneae; Idiopidae. RNAcentral also lists the same sequence under 7 other names. The record is from RNAcentral.
UCGACCUCAGAUCAGACGAGAUGACCCGCUGAAUUU